This 399-nucleotide ribosomal RNA is filed under the name uncultured bacterium. RNAcentral describes it as "bacterial SSU rRNA". It matches the Rfam family "Bacterial small subunit ribosomal RNA", at positions 355 to 770 of the family's 1533-position model. The record is from RNAcentral.
GGAGGAAUAUUGGGCAAUGGACGAAAGUCUGACCCAGCAACGCCGCGUGAAGGAUGAAGGCCUUCGGGUCGUAAACUUCUUUUGAGGGAGACGAGCAAGGACGGUAUCCCUCGAAUAAGCCACGGCUAACUACGUGCCAGCAGCCGCGGUAAAACGUAGGUGGCGAGCGUUAUCCGGAUUCAUUGGGCGUAAAGAGCUUGUAGGUGGUGCGAUAAGUUGGACGUGAAAACUCCGGGCUUAACUUGGAGAGGCCGUUCAAUACUGUUGUGCUAGAGGGCGUCAGAGGGAAGUGGAAUUCCUGGUGUAGCAGUGAAAUGCGUAGAUAUCAGGAGGAACACCCGUGGCGAAGGCGGCUUCCUGGGACGUACCUGACACUGAGAAGCGAAAGCUAGGGGAGCA